Pseudomassariella vexata is the source of this 103-nucleotide transfer RNA. It matches the Rfam family "tRNA". From Rfam's summary of the family: Transfer RNA (tRNA) molecules are approximately 80 nucleotides in length. NCBI's taxonomy places the organism in Eukaryota, Fungi, Ascomycota, Sordariomycetes, Amphisphaeriales, Pseudomassariaceae. The record is from Rfam.
GUCGCUUUGGUGGAGUGGUUAACACGUUGCCCUGCUAUAUCUCCUGUGGAUUAGUUGUUAGGCAAUGCCUUCGGGCGCGUAGGUUCGAAUCCUGCAGGCGACG